CCCUACAAGACCAGGAGCUACACCCCAGCUGAGGACCACCCUGUGCAGGAACAAGCAAAAAAACUAAACCGAAAUUUCAGCUUAACAGAGAGGGACUACUCAAGGUGUAGGAGAGACUCCAAGACAGGAGAGGCUGCUGCUGUUCCUAGCUUCAUGGGUCAAGGUGGCAACAGCAUGACAGGUGGCCGCACGGAAGAGCAUCUUUUUUCACCCCUUAGAAACCGUGCUAUGUCAGAAAAUGACAUUCGUGUGGACACACAGAAUUUUCAUAAUCACACCAACGUCACACCAAGCAGAAUGCGUGCGUCCACUCUUAGUGACCUGGAUGAGAAUGGAGUAUGUGUAGGUGAAGUAAAGAAAAAAAAGGGCCUCCGCGUCCACCGCCCCCAAAAUGGGAUCAAUUCCACAAGAGACGGGCAUCCCAUCAUAACCUCUUCUCCUCCCCGCCACUUCAUUCUUCUCCCUCUUCCUCUCCACCUCGACCACAGCCGUGCACAUCCC
Long non-coding RNA from Cyprinus carpio (common carp), 501 nucleotides. RefSeq lists it as uncharacterized. NCBI's taxonomy places the organism in Eukaryota, Metazoa, Chordata, Actinopteri, Cypriniformes, Cyprinidae. The record is from RefSeq and is a predicted model, not a curated record. The transcript is spliced from 3 exons.